This 449-nucleotide long non-coding RNA is filed under the name Marmota monax (woodchuck). The record is from RNAcentral. Lineage: Eukaryota; Metazoa; Chordata; Mammalia; Rodentia; Sciuridae.
AUAUUGUUAAUAUGUUCACAUUCAAAACUUUUAAGGUAGAUAUUCUAUAGUAAAUAAAUUCUGGGAAUCUUUUUGAAAUAGUUUUUAGAACAUGAACCUGUGUUGCUUAGAGUAUUAUAUGAAAGAUUGCUGGGCUGGGGGUUUAGGUCAGUGGUAGAGCACUUUCCUAGCAUGCUUGAGGCCCUGGGUUUCACCCCCAAUACUGCAAAAGGGAAAGAAAAGAAAGGAAAGAAAAAUUGCUGUUAUUUUCCCUGGAGCAAUUUUCGGGAGUCAGAGGUUUGUUUUAGGAGAGUCUGAUGUUUCGUGGUUGGUGUGGGAUUUACCUGUUCCUCCAUGUAGGAGAGAAUUAACUUUAAAAUCUGGUGCAAAUACCAGACACCACACCAAGAGUUAGGAUUGAGUUUGUUGUUUCCCCAGAAGUUCCUUGUGAAUAGAUAAGGUCACUCUGU